Molecule: ribosomal RNA, 450 nt
Filed under: uncultured bacterium
Lineage: Bacteria
Description: partial 16S ribosomal RNA
Rfam family: Bacterial small subunit ribosomal RNA
Source: RNAcentral
GUGGGGAAUAUUGGACAAUGGGCGCAAGCCUGAUCCAGCCAUGCCGCGUGGGUGAAGAAGGCCUUCGGGUUGUAAAGCCCUUUUGUCCGGGAAGAAAGCGCCCUGGUGAAUAGCCGGGGUGGAUGACGGUACCGGAAGAAUAAGCACCGGCUAACUUCGUGCCAGCAGCCGCGGUAAUACGAAGGGUGCAAGCGUUACUCGGAAUUACUGGGCGUAAAGCGUGCGUAGGCGGUUCGUUAAGUCAGAUGUGAAAGCCCCGGGCUCAACCUGGGAAUUGCAUUUGAUACUGGCGGGCUAGAGUACGGUAGAGGGUGGUGGAAUUCCCGGUGUAGCAGUGAAAUGCGUAGAGAUCGGGAGGAACAUCCGUGGCGAAGGCGGCCACCUGGACCAGUACUGACGCUGAGGCACGAAAGCGUGGGGAGCAAACAGGAUUAGAUACCCGAGUAGUCC